CCGAGUGAGGGCUCCGGCCCGACCUCCAACCCCAUGUUAUCCAUCUCUGUUGCCUCGGGGGCGACCCGGUCCCGCUCGGGAUGUCGGGGCCCCCGGUGGUCCAAUCAAACAAACUCUGCAUCUUUGCGUCUGAGUCAAUUAUUAAAUCAAUUA
Molecule: unclassified non-coding RNA, 153 nt
Filed under: uncultured fungus
Lineage: Eukaryota; Fungi
Description: sequence contains ITS1
Source: RNAcentral